Molecule: ribosomal RNA, 255 nt
Filed under: uncultured bacterium
Lineage: Bacteria
Description: partial 16S ribosomal RNA
Rfam family: Bacterial small subunit ribosomal RNA
Source: RNAcentral
CGGACGGGUGAGUAACGCGUGGAUAACCUGCCGUAUACAGGGGGAUAACACUUAGAAAUAGGUGCUAAUACCGCAUAAGCGCACGGUUCCGCAUGGAACAGUGUGAAAAACUCCGGUGGUAUACGAUGGAUCCGCGUCUGAUUAGCCAGUUGGCAGGGUAACGGCCUACCAAAGCGACGAUCAGUAGCCGGCCUGAGAGGGCGGACGGCCACACUGGGACUGAGACACGGCCCAGACUCCUACGGAAGGCAGCAG